UACGUAGGGGGCAAGCGUUGUCCGGAAUUAUUGGGCGUAAAGCGCGCGCAGGCGGCCUUGUAAGUCUGUUGUUUAAACUCGGGGCUCAACCCCGAGUCGCAAUGGAAACUGCAAAGCUUGAGUACAGAAGAGGAAAGUGGAAUUCCACGUGUAGCGGUGAAAUGCGUAGAGAUGUGGAGGAACACCAGUGGCGAAGGCGACUUUCUGGGCUGUAACUGACGCUGAGGCGCGAAAGCGUGGGGAGCAAGCAGG
This 252-nucleotide ribosomal RNA is filed under the name uncultured bacterium. Its description in RNAcentral is "partial 16S ribosomal RNA". It matches the Rfam family "Bacterial small subunit ribosomal RNA", at positions 524 to 776 of the family's 1533-position model. The record is from RNAcentral.